RNAcentral lists this ribosomal RNA (269 nucleotides) under uncultured bacterium. RNAcentral's name for it is "partial 16S ribosomal RNA". It matches the Rfam family "Bacterial small subunit ribosomal RNA", at positions 85 to 354 of the family's 1533-position model. The record is from RNAcentral.
CCGAUGGCGACCGGCGCACGGGUGAGUAACACGUAUCCAACCUGCCGAUAACUCGGGGAUAGCCUUUCGAAAGAAAGAUUAAUAUCCGAUAGGAUAUCAAGGUCGCAUGAUCUUGAUAUUAAAGAAUUUCGGUUAUCGAUGGGGAUGCGUUCCAUUAGUUAGUUGGCGGGGUAACGGCCCACCAAGACGACGAUGGAUAGGGGUUCUGAGAGGAAGGUCCCCCACCAUUGGAACUGAGACACGGUCCAAACUCCUACGGGAGGCAGCAG